ACUCCUACGGGAGGCAGCAGUGGGGAAUAUUGGACAAUGGGCGCAAGCCUGAUCCAGCCAUGCCGCGUGAGUGAUGAAGGCCCUAGGGUUGUAAAGCUCUUUCACCGGUGAAGAUAAUGACGGUAACCGGAGAAGAAGCCCCGGCUAACUUCGUGCCAGCAGCCGCGGUAAUACGAAGGGGGCUAGCGUUGUUCGGAUUUACUGGGCGUAAAGCGCACGUAGGCGGACUAUUAAGUCAGGGGUGAAAUCCCGGGGCUCAACCCCGGAACUGCCUUUGAUACUGGUAGUCUUGAGUUCGAGAGAGGUGAGUGGAAUUCCGAGUGUAGAGGUGAAAUUCGUAGAUAUUCGGAGGAACACCAGUGGCGAAGGCGGCUCACUGGCUCGAUACUGACGCUGAGGUGCGAAAGCGUGGGGAGCAAACAGGAUUAGAUACCCUUGUAGUCCCA
This 446-nucleotide ribosomal RNA is filed under the name uncultured organism. RNAcentral's name for it is "partial 16S ribosomal RNA". It matches the Rfam family "Bacterial small subunit ribosomal RNA", at positions 335 to 797 of the family's 1533-position model. The record is from RNAcentral.